UGUCGUCAGCUCGUGUUGUGAAAUGUUGGGUUAAGUCCCGCAACGAGCGCAACCCUUAUCCUUUGUUGCCAGCGGUCCGGCCGGGAACUCAAAGGAGACUGCCAGUGAUAAACUGGAGGAAGGUGGGGAUGACGUCAAGUCAUCAUGGCCCUUACGACCAGGGCUACACACGUGCUACAAUGGCGCAUACAAAGAGAAGCGACCUCGCGAGAGCAAGCGGACCUCAUAAAGUGCGUCGUAGUCCGGAUUGGAGUCUGCAACUCGACUCCAUGAAGUCGGAAUCGCUAGUAAUCGUGGAUCAGAAUGCCACGGUGAAUACGUUCCCGGGCCUUGUACACACCGCCCGUCACACCAUGGGAGUGGGUUGC
This 368-nucleotide ribosomal RNA is filed under the name Escherichia coli. RNAcentral describes it as "bacterial SSU rRNA". It matches the Rfam family "Bacterial small subunit ribosomal RNA", at positions 1050 to 1418 of the family's 1533-position model. The record is from RNAcentral. Lineage: Bacteria; Pseudomonadati; Pseudomonadota; Gammaproteobacteria; Enterobacterales; Enterobacteriaceae.